RNAcentral lists this non-coding RNA (19 nucleotides) under Arabidopsis thaliana (thale cress). The record is from RNAcentral. Lineage: Eukaryota; Viridiplantae; Streptophyta; Magnoliopsida; Brassicales; Brassicaceae.
CCUGGCUCCCUGUAUGCCA